UACGGAGGGUGCAAGCGUUAUCCGGAUUCACUGGGGUUAAAGGGUGCGUAGGGGGGCAGGUAAGUCAGUGGUGAAAUCUCCGAGCUUAACUUGGAAACUGCCGUUGAUACUAUCUGUCUUGAAUAUUGUGGAGGUGAGCGGAAUAUGUCAUGUAGCGGUGAAAUGCUUAGAUAUGACAUAGAACACCAAUUGCGAAGGCAGCUCGUUACACGAAGAUUGACUCUGAGGCACGAAAGCGUGGGGAUCAAACAGG
Molecule: ribosomal RNA, 253 nt
Filed under: uncultured bacterium
Lineage: Bacteria
Description: partial 16S ribosomal RNA
Rfam family: Bacterial small subunit ribosomal RNA
Source: RNAcentral